Molecule: ribosomal RNA, 399 nt
Filed under: uncultured Acidovorax sp.
Lineage: Bacteria; Pseudomonadati; Pseudomonadota; Betaproteobacteria; Burkholderiales; Comamonadaceae
Description: bacterial SSU rRNA
Rfam family: Bacterial small subunit ribosomal RNA
Source: RNAcentral
GACAUGUACGGAAUCCUUUAGAGAUAGAGGAGUGCUCGAAAGAGAACCGUAACACAGGUGCUGCAUGGCUGUCGUCAGCUCGUGUCGUGAGAUGUUGGGUUAAGUCCCGCAACGAGCGCAACCCUUGUCAUUAGUUGCUACAUUUAGUUGGGCACUCUAAUGAGACUGCCGGUGACAAACCGGAGGAAGGUGGGGAUGACGUCAAGUCCUCAUGGCCCUUAUAGGUGGGGCUACACACGUCAUACAAUGGAUGGUACAAAGGGUCGCCAACCCGCGAGGGGGAGCCAAUCCCAUAAAGCCAUUCGUAGUCCGGAUCGCAGUCUGCAACUCGACUGCGUGAAGUCGGAAUCGCUAGUAAUCGUGGAUCAGAAUGUCACGGUGAAUACGUUCCCGGGUCUU